This 67-nucleotide microRNA precursor is filed under the name Bombyx mori (domestic silkworm). Its description in RNAcentral is "mir-2774 microRNA precursor family". It matches the Rfam family "mir-2774 microRNA precursor family". Lineage: Eukaryota; Metazoa; Arthropoda; Insecta; Lepidoptera; Bombycidae. The record is from Rfam by way of RNAcentral.
AAAAAAAUAGGACCGUCCGUCUGCCGAGCAACAUCAUCAGCUCAGUGGAAGAUCUUCCCUUUGUCGU